RNAcentral lists this ribosomal RNA (254 nucleotides) under uncultured bacterium. RNAcentral's name for it is "partial 16S ribosomal RNA". It matches the Rfam family "Bacterial small subunit ribosomal RNA", at positions 524 to 776 of the family's 1533-position model. The record is from RNAcentral.
UACGGGGGGGAGCAAGCGUUGUUCGGAUUUACUGGGCGUAAAGGGCGCGUAGGCGGCGCGGGCAGUCAACGGUGAAAGCUCGGGGCUCAACUCCGAGUCGGCCGUCGAUACUCCCGUGCUCGAGCACUGUAGAGGCAGGUGGAAUUCCGGGUGUAGCGGUGGAAUGCGUAGAGAUCCGGAAGAACACCGGUGGCGAAGGCGGCCUGCUGGGCAGUAGCUGACGCUGAGGCGCGACAGCGUGGGGAGCAAACAGG